This 495-nucleotide ribosomal RNA is filed under the name uncultured bacterium. RNAcentral describes it as "partial 16S ribosomal RNA". It matches the Rfam family "Bacterial small subunit ribosomal RNA", at positions 28 to 507 of the family's 1533-position model. The record is from RNAcentral.
GACGAACGCUGGCGGCGUGCCUAAUACAUGCAAGUAGAACGCUGAAGGAGGAGCUUGCUUCUCUGGAUGAGUUGCGAACGGGUGAGUAACGCGUAGGUAACCUGCCUGGUAGCGGGGGAUAACUAUUGGAAACGAUAGCUAAUACCGCAUAAGAGUAGAUGUCGCAUGACAUUUGCUUAAAAGGUGCAAUUGCAUCACUACCAGAUGGACCUGCGUUGUAUUAGCUAGUUGGUGAGGUAACGGCUCACCAAGGCAACGAUACAUAGCCGACCUGAGAGGGUGAUCGGCCACACUGGGAAUGAGACACGGCCCAGACUCCUACGGGAGGCAGCAGUAGGGAAUCUUCGGCAAUGGACGGAAGUCUGACCGAGCAACGCCGCGUGAGUGAAGAAGGUUUUCGGAUCGUAAAGCUCUGUUGUAAGAGAAGAACGAGUGUGAGAGUGGAAAGUUCACACUGUGACGGUAUCUUACCAGAAAGGGACGGCUAACUACGUG